GACGGAGGGUGCUAGCGUUGUUCGGAAUCACUGGGCGUAAAGGGCGCGUAGGCGGCCAGGCAAGUCGGCUCGUGAAAGCCCGGGGCUCAACCCCGGAGGUGCGGCCGGGACUGCUUGGCUGGAGGCCGGAAGAGGAGGGUGGAAUACCCAGUGUAGAGGUGAAAUUCGUAGAUAUUGGGUGGAACACCGGUGGCGAAAGCGGCUCUCUGGUCCGGACCUGACGCUGAGGCGCGAAAGCGUGGGGAGCAAACAGGAUUAGAUACCCCCGUAGUCC
Molecule: ribosomal RNA, 274 nt
Filed under: uncultured bacterium
Lineage: Bacteria
Description: partial 16S ribosomal RNA
Rfam family: Bacterial small subunit ribosomal RNA
Source: RNAcentral